This is a non-coding RNA of Acanthosepion pharaonis, 98 nucleotides long. The record is from the annotation of a GenBank genome assembly. Lineage: Eukaryota; Metazoa; Mollusca; Cephalopoda; Sepiida; Sepiidae.
GUUAAAACUCUGGUUCUCAUAUGAUCACCAAAGUUAAACAAUGUCAAGCUUGGUCAGUAGCUAGAUGGGUGACCACAAGGGGAUACCAUGUGCUGCAA